Molecule: ribosomal RNA, 478 nt
Filed under: uncultured bacterium
Lineage: Bacteria
Description: partial 16S ribosomal RNA
Rfam family: Bacterial small subunit ribosomal RNA
Source: RNAcentral
GACGAACGCUGGCGGCGUGCUUAACACAUGCAAGUCGAACGGUAAGGCCCUUCGGGGUACACGAGUGGCGAACGGGUGAGUAACACGUGGGUGAUCUGCCCUGCACUUUGGGAUAAGCCUGGGAAACUGGGUCUAAUACCGGAUAGGACCAUGCGCUGCACGGUGUGUGGUGGAAAGCGUUUGCGGUGUGGGAUGGGACCGCGGCCUAUCAGAUUUUUGGUGGGGUAAUGGCCUACCAAGGCGACGACGGGUAGCCGGCCUGAGAGGGUGACCGGCCACACUGGGACUGAGAUACGGCCCAGACUCCUACGGGAGGCAGCAGUGGGGAAUAUUGCACAAUGGGCGCAAGCCUGAUGCAGCGACGCCGCGUGAGGGAUGACGGCCUUCGGGUUGUAAACCUCUUUCAGUAGGGACGAAGCGCAAGUGACGGUACCUACAGAAGAAGGACCGGCCAACUACGUGCCAGCCGCCGCGGUAA